GGGCGCGUGGUGUAGUUGGUUAUCACGCUCGCUUAGCAUUAUUCAGGUCAUGAGCCUCAUGCGAGAGGUGUCGGGUUCAAUUCCCAACGCGUCCA
Non-coding RNA from Mycena leptocephala, 95 nucleotides. NCBI's taxonomy places the organism in Eukaryota, Fungi, Basidiomycota, Agaricomycetes, Agaricales, Mycenaceae. The record is from the annotation of a GenBank genome assembly.